RNAcentral lists this ribosomal RNA (550 nucleotides) under uncultured fungus. RNAcentral describes it as "eukaryotic LSU rRNA". The stretch from base 170 to 321 matches the Rfam family "5.8S ribosomal RNA". Lineage: Eukaryota; Fungi. The record is from RNAcentral.
AAGUUGUAACAAGGUUUCCGUAGGUGAACCUGCGGAAGGAUCAUUAACAAAUCCAUAUGCGUGUGGCAGGGCGACCUGUCCGCGAAUAUUAAACCUGCCGGUUCUCUGUGAGCUGGUUGGAAAUAAAUGUGUGUAGUGUUGACAGUGUGUGUGAUAUUUAAUUAUUGACAACUUUUAACAAUGGAUCUCUAGGCUCUUGCAGCGAUGAAGAACGCAGCAAAAUGCGAAACGUGAUGCGAUUUGCAUGAAUCUGUGAGUCAUCUAAUCUUUGAACGCGAAUGGCACUGUUACGUAAGUGGCAGUAUGUCUGUUUGAGAAUCGCAAAACAAGAUCAACUCUAGUUGAGAGUUGGGAGUGGCCUUAUAUACGGGUAUGUGUAUUUGGCUUGAAUUGAUCGAGUUGAUGAGCUUCCCAGCGCGGCUCAAUGUGUGCUAGCGAGACAGUCGUCCCGAUCUCACAUUAUCGCUGCGUUGCAGAGUUCUGACCACAGCUCGCUAAACUUUCUAUCAAUUACGAUCUCAAAUCAGGCAAGAUUACCCGCUGAACUUAA